GCUUAGCCCUAAACCUAAAUAGCCAGACAACGACGCUACUCGCCAGAGUACUACUAGCAAUAGCUUAAAACUCAAAGGACUUGGCGGUGCUUUACAUCCCUCUAGAGGAGCCUGUUCUGUAAUCGAUAAACCCCGAUAAACCUCACCAACUCUUGCUAAUACAGCCUAUAUACCGCCAUCUUCAGCAAACCCUAAAAAGGAAACAAAGUAAGCAAAAACACAAAACAUAAAAACGUUAGGUCAAGGUGUAGCCUAUGAGUUGGAAAGAAAUGGGCUACAUUUUCUAGCAUAGAACAUCAACGAAAAUUUUCGUGAAACCGAAAAUAGAAGGAGGAUUUAGUAGUAAAUUAAGAAUAGAGAGCUUAAUUGAAUCAGGCCAUGAAGCAC
RNAcentral lists this ribosomal RNA (387 nucleotides) under Pteropus rayneri (Solomons flying fox). RNAcentral's name for it is "partial 12S ribosomal RNA". It matches the Rfam family "Bacterial small subunit ribosomal RNA", at positions 794 to 1382 of the family's 1533-position model. Lineage: Eukaryota; Metazoa; Chordata; Mammalia; Chiroptera; Pteropodidae. The record is from RNAcentral.